AGGCUCCAGAUUGUUCUACUCCUGAUGUCAGGAGGAAGCUGAUUUACCUUUGGAAUGAGAUAACCUCUGGGAUCCCUGAACAGUUAAAGGGCAGACGGAAAUAAGGCUUGGCAAUGAAGAUGGACAAGGAACAUAUGCCAGUGCACAUCUAUUAUAAGCCAUUUAUCCCAGACUGUGAUGCAAGUGUGCUUAAGUCUGAAAUGCAAGUGACUCGUACUUACAGGCAAAAUACAUUCCAGCUGAGGAAAAAAGGAUUUUUGUUGCUGAUUUAAUGGAGUGACAGCCUUUCAGAAGUCUUUAAAUUCACCAUUUUCACUGAUGUCACCCUGUUACCAGAAAGGAGUCCUAAUUCUGACCCCAAGAGAAGGUCCUUAAAUCUCGUGCAAGAAAGAUUUCAGGGUCUCAAUGCGAAAGCUGUCUCCAAAUUGCUGUUUUCUGAAAGCCGCCAGUUAAAGGGCUACAUCUUGCCAAGGUAGACUAAUAGAAGUCAAAUUCCAUUGUAAAAGCAGAACUGAAAUUAUACCUCGUGCA
RNAcentral lists this long non-coding RNA (531 nucleotides) under Homo sapiens (human). Its description in RNAcentral is "HSALNT0310708". Lineage: Eukaryota; Metazoa; Chordata; Mammalia; Primates; Hominidae. The record is from RNAcentral.